This 221-nucleotide long non-coding RNA is filed under the name Phoenix dactylifera (date palm). Its description in RNAcentral is "long non-coding RNA (PDAC_LNC003955)". The record is from RNAcentral. Lineage: Eukaryota; Viridiplantae; Streptophyta; Magnoliopsida; Arecales; Arecaceae.
AACAAGGUCGAAGAAUUCCCUAGCAACUAGCAGUGUAAUGGCAGUCUGAUCAGAGAUGUUUUUUCCAUGGAUGCAACCUAUGCCUAUUUGCAAUAUUUGACAAACUAAAGCAUGCGAUCAAUUGAAUGAUUAGUAAAUAAUAUCCAGUUUGGAGCAAUACACAGCCACUUUUGAAUUCACUUAGAGACAUCUUUGCUUGCCAACUGGGAUCAGCAGGUUCC